This is a long non-coding RNA of Hyalella azteca, 235 nucleotides long. RefSeq lists it as uncharacterized. NCBI's taxonomy places the organism in Eukaryota, Metazoa, Arthropoda, Malacostraca, Amphipoda, Hyalellidae. The transcript is spliced from 3 exons. The record is from RefSeq and is a predicted model, not a curated record.
UGCGUACAUAUGCUGCUAAGUUCAGGGACUGGUACGCGAACGCCUCCUGCCGCCGCUGGUACCGGCGCCGCCCCCUCGCCUCAGCCUUCACCCACCCCACCAAGAUGGUCUACCCACCAGGGGAGGUGUACACGCCCCCUGACAGCCCCGACAGGGAGGUGCUGCCCCGGGACGUGGGGGAGUACCAGGUCCCCCACAAGGACCUCAGCUACGAGGUGGACCCAGUGGCCUCUGA